AGAAUCAACGCUGGCGGCGUGCCUAACACAUGCAAGUCGAACGAGAAAGUGGAGCGAAUCCAUGAGUAAAGUGGCGACCGGGUGAGUAACACGUGACUAACCUAACCUUCGAGUGGGGGAUAACCUCGGGAAACCGAGGCUAAUACCGCAUAACAUCGCAAGAUCAAAGCAGCAAUGCGCUGGAAGAGGGGGUCGCGGCUGAUUAGCUAGUUAGGCGGGUAAUGGCCCACCAAGGCGAAGAUCGGUAGCCGGCCUGAGAGGGCGCACGGCCACACUGGAACUGAAACACGGUCCAGACUCCUACGGGAGGCAGCAGUGGGGAAUUUUGCGCAAUGGGGGAAACCCUGACGCAGCAACGCCGCGUGGAGGAUGAAGGCCCCUUGGGGGUGUAAACUCCUUUCGACCAAGACGAUAAUGACGGUACUGGUGGAAGGAAGCACCGGCUAACUCUGCGCCAGCAGCCGC
Molecule: ribosomal RNA, 465 nt
Filed under: uncultured bacterium
Lineage: Bacteria
Description: SSU rRNA
Rfam family: Bacterial small subunit ribosomal RNA
Source: RNAcentral